AUAACAUACAUUUGGUGGGAUCCACAAUUUGCCUAAAGUGCGUAAGGGGAGUGGAGGAUUUAAAGCAUGGAUUUGGGGACUAUUCAUUUGUUGUUGUAGUCUGGGAUCUGUUGAACAUUAAAUGGGAUGGUGAUGAAAGUGGAAAAAAUUUUCAAGAUUAGCUACACGAAGUGUUUUAUAAUUCGUCAGAAUAUACCUGCAGGCAUAUUGCAUAUAUGAUUUGGUUCCUUUGGUCCGAGAGGAAUAAAUGGGUGCAUGAUAGAUCAUUUGCCUCACUACAACAUAUUGCAAAUAAGAUUUGAUGGUGGGUUUUGAAAAGUGGAGACCAGCGGAAGAACCUAACUUCAAGCUUUUACAGCUGAGGCCCUUGCAUGCCUUCAAGCUCUCAGAUUAGGGGUGGAUCUCAAUUUCAAAAGGGUGGUGGUGGAAGGGGGUUAUCUUUCUGUGAUAAAGAAAGCAAACUUGAGUUGCAUAGAUAGAUUGGCCAUCGAGGCGUAUAUUCAAGACAUUAGAACUGAACAAUAGAGGCUCAGAGAGUGUGAGUUUGUUUAUGUCUCCCGAGAGGUGAACAAAUCAGCUCAUUUACUAGUGCAAGAGGGAUGGAGUAGGGGAGAUGGUCUAAAUCUAGAGCAUAGUCAACUGGUAGAGAUGGUAGCUCUGAAUUGUAAAGGCGUUAGCGAAAACGAUGAAACAAGUGUUGCGAUGGCUUCAAGGUAGAUGUUCUUCUUCUUCAAAAAGGAUUUUGGUAAAGGGGGAUUUUUCUGAGGGUGAAAAGGACGAGUGGAUUUUUUUAGAGUAGAGAUUAAACUGCUCCUAUCUUUUGGAGUCUCCCACGGUCUACACGUGUAUCCACUUUCGGGUGUGGCUCCUCUAUCUAAACUGGAGUUGUUUGUUUUUUUAAUUUUCUGCUGCGCUUUUGUUUUUUCGAGUUUUUGUUUAAACUACUUUAAUUUAUUUUAAUAAAUUCUCCAGUUGGAUUUUAUUCACAAAAAAAAAAACACAUCAUGCAUAGUAGUUGGUUUUAGUCUAGAACAUAACCCGUUUGUAAUAGUUUGAUAUUUACAACUACUUUGACCUGUAUUUGUAAUUGUACUGUAGUUGUUAUAACAAUCAACCUUAAGCAAGACAAA
This is a long non-coding RNA of Gossypium arboreum, 1130 nucleotides long. RefSeq lists it as uncharacterized. NCBI's taxonomy places the organism in Eukaryota, Viridiplantae, Streptophyta, Magnoliopsida, Malvales, Malvaceae. The transcript has 2 exons. The record is from RefSeq and is a predicted model, not a curated record.